This 205-nucleotide unclassified non-coding RNA is filed under the name Hevea brasiliensis (rubber tree). The record is from RNAcentral. Lineage: Eukaryota; Viridiplantae; Streptophyta; Magnoliopsida; Malpighiales; Euphorbiaceae.
AGAAACCCCGUUAUUCAGCUCCACAAAAUCCUCCUUUUUAACUUCUUAUUUCCUUACUACUUUGAUCUCUCUGAAUUUUCGUUCUUCUUCAAACUUAAUACUCUCUCUCUGUACAAUCAAUAUGGCUAACGCAGCAUCUGGGAUGGCAGUGCAUGAUGACUGCAAAUUAACGUUCUUGGAGCUGAAAACAAAAAGAACUCACCGA